ACAACGGCUCCUAUAGGAGCCACCCAAACAAAUAAAAGUCUACCCU
Molecule: non-coding RNA, 46 nt
Organism: Nematostella vectensis (starlet sea anemone)
Lineage: Eukaryota; Metazoa; Cnidaria; Anthozoa; Actiniaria; Edwardsiidae
Source: Rfam